CAGGCUUGUCGCCCUGAAUACUUCAGCAUGGAAUAAUAAGAUAGGACCUCGGUUCUAUUUUGUUGGUUUCUAGGACCAAGGUAAUGAUUAAUAGGGACAGUUGGGGGCAUUCGUAUUUAACUGUCAGAGGUGAAAUUCUUAGAUUUGUUAAAGACGAACUACUGCGAAAGCAUUUGCCAAGGAUGUUUUCAUUAAUCAAGAACGACAGUAGGGGGUUUGAAGACGAUUAGAUACCGUCGUAAUCUCUACCAUAAACUAUGCCGACUAGAGAUAGGGAAAUGCCUACCUUGGCUUCUCCUGCACCUCAUGAGAAAUCAAAGUCUCUGGGUUCUGGGGGGAGUAUGGUCGCAAGGCUGAAACUUAAAGGAAUUGACGGAAGGGCACCACCAGGCGUGGAGCCUGCGGCUUAAUUUGACUCAACACGGGGAAACUCAC
Molecule: ribosomal RNA, 435 nt
Filed under: Isospora massardi
Lineage: Eukaryota; Apicomplexa; Conoidasida; Eucoccidiorida; Eimeriidae
Description: SSU rRNA
Rfam family: Eukaryotic small subunit ribosomal RNA
Source: RNAcentral